Molecule: non-coding RNA, 87 nt
Organism: Proteiniborus sp. DW1
Lineage: Bacteria; Bacillati; Bacillota; Clostridia; Eubacteriales
Source: Rfam
UGACAUGCGAUGAAGCAAGAGGUUGCUUAUUAAAAAAUUAAUAAGGGAAUUUUUGCGGAGAAUGUCCGGCUUAGACUCGGGCGACAA